Molecule: long non-coding RNA, 1387 nt
Filed under: Elaeis guineensis (African oil palm)
Lineage: Eukaryota; Viridiplantae; Streptophyta; Magnoliopsida; Arecales; Arecaceae
Description: long non-coding RNA (EGUI_LNC065230)
Source: RNAcentral
UCCUCCGACCUGAGAUUACUACGGUGACUUGCAAGCAACUCACUAUGCUUUGGUGCCGGACUGUCUGUAUUUUUAAUAUAGGUUCGAAAGGUUUCUGGGUACAGUAAGUAUUUAUGAAGUCGGUGUGUGAGUCAACAUGAAAUUGACCACUCCUGAUUAACUUCAGAAAGAGAAUAUCUCACUAUAUUUCAAUUUAGCAAAACCUAGGCCUGGGUAAUCUUCGUGGCGAGUCACAAGAUUUGCAAAAUUUUGAGACACAAUAGAGAUGACUUAUAUGAGUGUUGACAGCAUACUCGAAGUUGUCUUGAACAUUAUUGAUCAAAAUGAUGAAUUAUACGGUAACCAUGGGUCAGAGUUCUUAGAAUGUUGCUUUGUAUACAUUCGACCUAUCUGGAUGUCGAGAACCAUUGCUAGACGGUUACUUCGAUUGGUAUAAAAAUUAGUUUCUGUACUACCGACUUAGGUUCGAACCUAUAGGAUCACACACAUAAGAGGUUGUAAUCUAAUCAGAUGGUUAAUCGAUGAUUGAGAAUCAUUCUAAGGUUAAACGAUUAAUGUGAUUAAUGUUUGACCUAAUACAAGUAUUAUAGGAGGAUCGAUUAGCAAUUGGAUUGCUAAUUGGCUCAAUCUGAUUGAGCAAUUGAGCUGAGAUCAAGUCUAAUUAAAUUUGAUUCAAUUAGAAUUAGUUUAAAUUUAAUUAGAUUAAAUCUAAUUAGUUUAUUGGAUAAGCCAAUUGUAAGGGCGAACAAGUCUCUGUUCGACUAGGACUUGUAUGCACCUAAUUUCUAAUUAAGUUAGGAUUUAAAUCAAAAUUAAAUAUGAUCUAAUCUAAUUUAAUUGGACUCCUAGUUGGACUAGAAUCACCAUUAAUUAGGUUACAAUUAAUUUGGAUUGGGUUCAAAGUGUUUGACCUAAUCUACAUAAGAAUCCUAGUUAGACUAGGAUUCCAUAUCAUCUCUUGCACCACCUAAGAAAUCUCAAGCCCACACCCACUAAUUAAGUUUUAGAUAUUUUUCUAUGAUAUCUACAUCCAAAGAAUGUUAUCUCACACCACUUAUUCUAGAGAUUUGAAUCAGAUUUGAUUUGAUUUAAUGUGGAAAGUGAUUUGGUUAAUUAUGGAAAGUGGUUUAGGCUUAUUCAUUUUUUGAAAGAGUCCCUCUUCACAAGGACUCUUCCCUCCUCUCUUGCGCCAACUUUCCCCAAGCCUAUCCUAUCAUUUUGUUGCCCCUUUUAAGCAUCUUAUCGUGAUCUCCAUAAAAUUUAUAAGGGAGGGGACGUCUAAGAAUUGGACGCCCCAUGGACUCCUUAUUGAUUAGGUCUUUUGACCUAAUCUGCUAUAUAAAAAGUUGCCGCCCCAUAUGCUAUCAAAUAAAAGUCAAAAAUUCAU